Molecule: long non-coding RNA, 685 nt
Organism: Polypterus senegalus (gray bichir)
Lineage: Eukaryota; Metazoa; Chordata; Cladistia; Polypteriformes; Polypteridae
Exons: 3
Source: RefSeq, a predicted model, not a curated record
CCUGCACACAUGUCUGUUUUAAACCGCACCUUUCACUAAAUAGGCAGUAAUAACCCUGCUUCGUAUAACAAACGGCCGCAUUUAUUUGUGUUUGAACCUGCCGCACUUUAGAGGACCAUUUCUACUGUUUCACGAAGUAUGUAGAUUUAAAACAAAAGGAUACAAAUUCACAGAAAGUGCGUAACUCCGGUCUCCGCCCACUGGGAAGCGACUAUAAAACACGGGUGGCUCACUGGAAGGGCAAUCCUGCUUCAGAAGAAAAGCAGUAGCCGACGGCCUGAGUCUGGUAUUCUGCAACUGAAGCACAAAUCUCCUUUUCAUUAACAGAAUGAAGAUCCUGGCCGUGUUUUGGCUUUUUGGGAUCUGCCUUGCUCAUGUAUGUGAAAGGCCUUUCAAUGGAAUCAAUAUUGCCAGACAAGGCAUUGCAGAACAGUCCUCUCGCAAUUUUGACGAUUGGAGAUGCAUACCUUGCAAUAGAUGGGGGAAACAAAUGGCAUUUUUGGUAAAGGAACCUGCUCUCACACUGGAAGUGACUCUCCAUCCUGGUGGAAAGUGAAUCUGAAGGCCACUUAUGCCGUCACUGUGGUGGUGGUCUACAAUAGACAGGACUGCUGUGACUCGAGGUUGAGGGGGGCUGAAGUUCGUGUCGGUGCCUCACCUGAUAUCUCAAAGCAUGUCAAGUAAG